Molecule: long non-coding RNA, 360 nt
Filed under: Salmo trutta (river trout)
Lineage: Eukaryota; Metazoa; Chordata; Actinopteri; Salmoniformes; Salmonidae
Description: lncRNA (ENSSTUG00000038108.1)
Source: RNAcentral
UACACUCUGUGUAUGAAUCUGGAGAGCUCGGCACGCUUGUCCACUUUAGAGAAAAAAAGAGCUUGGCGGGAGGGGUCCUGAUGCACCGUGAAAUUGCCCCUCCCAAUUAAAGCACAGCGCUUAUGUUAUUGAAGAGCAGCUUAGCCAAUGAGGUGGCGAUACAGGCUGAUACAGCAUUAAAAAAAGCAGCAGAACGAGUGAAGGAAAAAACUGCUUGCCCUGAAGCUGCUAGAGACGUUUGCCCUGAGGAGGAAGAGACCCAGGACACAAGGUAAACUGCUUUUCACAUCUACUGUUGGGCUGGUGGGAUGCUUUUGAAGUUCUUUUUUUCUGAUAUAAUUCUAAUGACAUUGGAGCUAA